GGAGAUGGAGAUGGCGAAGGCAAAUUUUUAGCAUGUCAUCGCUAUCUUUCUCGAGCAAUAGUGGUGCUGGGCAGAUUUAUUGCUAUUGUACGGAACGAUCCAUGGCUAGAACAUCAUGGUCGAUGAAAAAUUUUGCAAGAAGAUUUCGUGGUUGCCCCAAAUAUGACAUUGAUGAGCAGUGCUGGUACUUUGAGUGGAUUGACCCUCUGACAUGCAGAUGUGGGACUGAAAUUAUUUUUAAAAUUUUGAACAAAUUCCAAAAGCUUUAGCAAGUAGCAGAUAUUGUGGAACAAAAGGAAGAAAUUGCUCGUAUGAAGGAGAUGCUUGCUUUGGAAAGAAAAGUAAUAGCUUGGAGAAGGAAAAUGUUCUAUAAGUAUGCAUUGAUUAGAUCUUGGAUAUUUGUUAUUAUUAUUGAUGUUCUGCUACUUGAAAGAAUCGGAAGAACUAGGAAGUAGAAAUGUUUGUCUUAGUAUUUUUCUGUUUGGCUAGUUUUCUAAUUUUUUUGAUUCUAAAAAAUAUAUUCAACUAUAUACAGAAACAUUUCAAGUUAAUGAAUUUUCAUUUGAUCCUU
Long non-coding RNA from Elaeis guineensis (African oil palm), 571 nucleotides. RefSeq lists it as uncharacterized. The record is from RefSeq and is a predicted model, not a curated record. Lineage: Eukaryota; Viridiplantae; Streptophyta; Magnoliopsida; Arecales; Arecaceae.